RNAcentral lists this ribosomal RNA (468 nucleotides) under uncultured bacterium. Its description in RNAcentral is "partial 16S ribosomal RNA". It matches the Rfam family "Bacterial small subunit ribosomal RNA", at positions 28 to 507 of the family's 1533-position model. The record is from RNAcentral.
GAUGAACGCUGGCGGCGUGCUUAACACAUGCAAGUCGAACGGAAAGGCCCAAGCUUGCUUGGGUCCUCGAGUGGCGAACGGGUGAGUAACACGUGGGUGAUCUGCCCUGCACUUCGGGAUAAGCCUGGGAAACUGGGUCUAAUACCGGAUAGGACGAUGGUUUGGAUGCCAUUGUGUAAAGUUUUUUCGGUGUGGGAUGAGCUCGCGGCCUAUCAGCUUGUUGGUGGGGUAAUGGCCUACCAAGGCGUCUACGGGUAGCCGGCCUGAGAGGGUGUACGGCCACAUUGGGACUGAGAUACGGCCCAGACUCCUACGGGAGGCAGCAGUGGGGAAUAUUGCACAAUGGGCGCAAGCCUGAUGCAGCGACGCCGCGUGGGGGAUGACGGCCUUCGGGUUGUAAACUCCUGUCGCUAGGGACGAAGCGUUUUUGUGACGGUACCUGGAGAAGAAGCACCGGCUAACUACGUG